UGUUCAAAACCAUAAUCUUUCCAAGAUUUUGGGUACCACGAGUAGUCAUCAGCGAUGGGGGUAGUCACUUCAUCAACAAGAUCUUUGCAGGUCUAUUGAAAAAGAAUGGCGUGAAAUACAAGGUAGCCACACCAUAUCACCCUCAAACAAUUGGUCAAGUGGAAGUGUCAAACAGAGAGAUCAAGAGCAUCCGGCAGAAAACAGUUAACACAAGUCGCAAGGAUUGGUCGCUCAAGCUAGACAACGCUCUCUGGGCUUACAGAACAGCCUACAAAACACCAGUCGGGACCACUCCCUACAACCUGGUGUACGGUAAAGCUUGUCACCUGCCGGUUGAGUUGGAGUACAAGGCAGCAUGGGCUUUGAAACUACUCAACUUCGACAUCAAACCAGCAGCAGAGAGACGAUCCAUGCAAAUCCACGAGCUGGAGGAAAUUAGGCAUCUCGCCUAUGAAAGCUCAAAAAUCUACAAGGAGCGAACUAAAGCCUAUCAUGACAAGAGAAUCAUCAGCCAAAACUUUCAGCCUAAGGAUCAGGUGCUCCUUUUUAACUCCAGGCUACGACUGUUCCAUGGAAAGCUGCGAUCAUGAUGGUCCGGACCAUUCACCAUUAAAGAGGUCCGCCCCUACGGUGCUGUUGUGUUGCUGGACACAAAAGGUGAGGAAUUUGUUGUCAAUGGUGAACGACUAAAGCCAUAUCUUGCUGAGACAACAAUCGCAGAGGGUGAAGAAAUUUCCCAAAGCGAUCCUUCUUUAGCCUAACAAGCUAACCAAGUCAAGCUAGUGACUUAAACUAAGCGCUUGGUGGGAGGCAACCCACUGGUGAGUGUAAAUAUUUCUUUUAGAUUUUUAUUUUGUGUUUCUUUUAAUUUAUUUGCAGGAUACAAAUCAGAAAACCCCGAGUUACUCAACCAGAACAGCCUCCAGCUGUUCUUGAUUCGGAGCAGCUGCUCCGCUAAGGUAAGUUUCUUGGGACCCAAAAAAAAAAAAAAUUAUAUUAGAUUUGAUAUAACUUUGUAAAAUUGAGGAAAACCCUAGCAAGUGGGAAGUGGGGCACGAAGUGGGUGCCUAUAAAGAGGGAACUUUCCCCAUCUCUCUCCCACUUCCACCAAAACCGCCUCCUCCAUCGCCUCUCUCCAUUCUCCUUUAAAAACCUAAAACUCUUUAAACUUCUUCAACUUGUUUUGAGUUUUUCGGUUUAUACCUGCUUGGAUUUCGAGUUGUUUGUGCAGAACUCUUCCAUCACCAAUCGAACGGUAAGAGGCGAAAUCACAAUGUGAUUCUCGGUCAAAAAUCUUCUUCUCUUCUUUCCUUUUUAAAUAGAUCGAUUUUAGGGUUUUUCUAAAUCAAAAUAGACCUCUCCUUUUGCUGCUAGGACUGUUAUUCGAAGUUGAGUUGAGAAUGGUUGAAUCGAUUAGGAUAGAUGGAAAGUUAUAACUUUUGCGCCAAUGUUCUUAAUUGAACAUGCAUCGAUUGUUUAGAUAUGGAUUUUGGGAUCUAUUGAAUCGAUCUGUUGAUUGGCGAGAUGAUUUAAGUACCCAGUCUUCUAAGUGAUUGUAUCUGGUUUACCAUUAUCGAUCGCUUGCUCUCUCUACAUUAGGUUAUGGAAAAGUUUGGAAAGAGCACAUACAAUCGUAAAAGCUUCCAACUUUUUCUACUAAACCCAAUCGAAUGGUACUAAGAACUUCCCUUUGGUUUUGUUUUGCAGAUGGCUCCCAGACGAACCAAGAUGGCUUCUAGGAUCAAACCACCACACGCCCAAGGAGAACCGGAGGAUGACACCAUCUCCCGAACUUACCCGUGGCCACGAGAGGAAGGGACCGAGAUCUCCCUCACAGACCCAUACAUCCCUGCCUCUUCGGAGGAAUGAUUGGAUAAGGAAGCCUCGCGUUGCUACAAAUCCUUGCUCAAGAUCAACAUCCUCCCAACACGAUUCGUUGACGCCGGGGCUUUGAACGACUUGUGCCUCCAUGAGGAUUUGCAUGCUGUUCUCCAGGUGCUGGGAAUAGCUGAUCUUUGCCACAUCACUCACCCGAUGUACCCAGAUUAGGUGAGGCAAGUCCUAGCCACCGCGGAGCUCACCUUCAAGAGGCCCAGCUUCCCAAUCUUUGAGGAAGCCUCCUUCACCUUCUACGCGAGCGGCGCCAAGCAUUCCAUAAGUUUGGAGAAGCUGACCGAGAUCUAUGAGAUAUCUGAGGAGUACACUAAGACCACCUUUCAAAGGAAGUUCCCCCCGGAGCAAGCAUUCUGGAAGUUCAUCGCUUCAGGGGACUUAAAAUCCCGAUCAGCCAGCCAGUCUCUCAUCCGCAACCCUAUUCUGCGGAUUGCUGCGAAGGUCCUGAGCAACCUGCUCUUCUCAAAGGACCAGACGUCAAAGGUGACACAAGGGGAACUGCAGAUGUUAUUUGCAGGAGUUGAGGACGAGAUCAAAUCCGCAAACAUUGGGAUUCUAACCUCGGAGAUGAAGACCAUUCCAGGAUGUGUGCUUGUUCAGAUGGUUGUGGACAAGAAGUCAAAGGUGAUUAAGGGUUCUCUGAAGAAGGACCGUUCUGGGAGUUUGCUCACACCUCUAUUCCGCCACUUGGAGCUUGAUCUCAGCCCCUACCAGUGUAACGAAACCACGCAGUUCAUUCAUGUUCCAUACCUGAUCAACUGCCAGAUUCUCCGCGACGAGACGACCUACAGUCUGAAAAGUCUGAAAAGGAGAAGGGUAAACGUAAUCUCUAUGUGGGAUUCAAGCCUUGAAUUACCGCAAGGAUCAUAUGGAGAUCUUAUCACCUAUCAAAGAUGGUAUUGUUUCUGAUUGGGAUUUGGAGACUGACGGAAGAAGAAGCGGAGUGGUGUUGGAGAUGGCUGAGGAAGAAGACGCGACGGCAAAAAGAAGCUGAGGUGAUACCUGAUUCUCAUUCGUAUUUUGGUGUCUUUCCGAUUGCUAUUGAUGUGUUUGCUUUGUUACAGAUCCUUGAAAUAGGAAAAAGAAGAAUGAUAGUUGCAGAUCCUAAAGGUAAGAAUCAGUUCUCAUCACUUGCUUACACUCUAUUCACUGUCUUUUACGGUUAACUACUAGAGUUGAACAUAAAGGUCUGAACUUUGGAUGGAGAUACUCUCAAAAUGGGGUGAAUCUGGGAGGAAUCUCCAUUGCUGCCUAUUUGUUUCUCUCCAUAUCUCUCGUGUCUUACUAACUGAGAGGUUUAUGGGUUGUUGUUACUGUUUUCUCCAAUUAUUUAAUACAAGUUAUAUUUUAUCACUAUUCACCUCUGGUUUCUCUUUAGAUUCAAGACUAGAUCUCUCCUGGGAGUGGCAGAAGAAUGAGAGUCACAGAUUCUCAUGAUUCUCUGCGAUGUGUAAUGAGUCUGACUUGAAACGUCUAUGUGCUGUGUAAUGAUCUGACUUCAAGAUAGUGAAGUGAUUCUCUAGUAAGACUUUUCUCGAGUGUUGGUACUAAAUGAAGCUGAGAAGCUCUCACGAGAAGCACACUUGCCAGUUCUUGACAGUUCCUCGGCAAGAUGGCGGAAUUUGCAGACAAAUGCACACACCAACGAAGCUUUAUGUAUUGCGGCAUGAUCUCAGCAGUGGUAGGAGGUAUAAUACCUAUAUCGCCUUAUACCACCGUAGACGACAAAGCUCUAACUGCAGAAAACCUUAUGCUCGGGAGAUUAUUAAGGUGCAUCCCCUACUCUCUCUGUGUAAGAUACAGGCUAAGGCCAAGAAGAAAAUAGGAGCAAGGUUUUGAUUUAGUUCUCAUGUUUUUAGUCCCUUUAUAUUUAGUUCUGAUUUUGUUAUGAUGUUUGUGUAAGAUUUGAUGAAAAUGUAGACAUGUUUGUGGUACUGAUGUAAGUACAUUUUGGUUUAUUAAUGAAAUAUAAAAUAAUUUUUUUUUUAAACAUAAUUAGCAACAAAACAUAUUUCUAUGAACAAGUUCUAAUAGCACAUAAUCGAUAAUACAUAUAGCAUUGAUACAUCAUUAUAACAAAACAUAUGAUUACAUUCAAAACAAAAGCUAUCAUAAGCAUUGGCUAACCAUAGCAAGCUAAAAACAACGCUAUUGUAUUUCUCCGAUAUUAUAGCAUUGUAAAAAAUGCUAUAAUAUAAGGGGGACCUAAGAUAGCUGGAGCAGACAUAGCAGUUUCAAUAAUGCUAACACAAGCAUAUAAUAGCUGUUUCCUUAUGCUAA
Long non-coding RNA from Brassica napus (rape), 4173 nucleotides. RefSeq lists it as uncharacterized. The transcript is spliced from 5 exons. The record is from RefSeq and is a predicted model, not a curated record. Lineage: Eukaryota; Viridiplantae; Streptophyta; Magnoliopsida; Brassicales; Brassicaceae.